Molecule: transfer RNA, 72 nt
Filed under: Perkinsus olseni
Lineage: Eukaryota; Perkinsozoa; Perkinsida; Perkinsidae
Description: tRNA-Pro
Rfam family: tRNA
About the family: Transfer RNA (tRNA) molecules are approximately 80 nucleotides in length. Their secondary structure includes four short double-helical elements and three loops (D, anti-codon, and T loops).
Source: RNAcentral
GGCUGUGUGGUCUAGUGGUAUGGUUCUCGCUUUGGGUGCGAGAGGUCUCGAGUUUGAUUCUCGACUUAGCCC